This 908-nucleotide ribosomal RNA is filed under the name uncultured bacterium. RNAcentral's name for it is "bacterial SSU rRNA". It matches the Rfam family "Bacterial small subunit ribosomal RNA", at positions 8 to 916 of the family's 1533-position model. The record is from RNAcentral.
AGAGUUUGAUCCUGGCUCAGGAUGAACGCUAGCGGCAGGCAUAAUACAUGCAAGUUGAACGGGAUUCAGAUAGCAAUAUUUGAUGAGAGUGGCGCACGGGUGCGUAACACGUAUGCAACUUACCUUAAACUGGGGGAUAGCCCGUGGAAACAUGGAUUAAUACCCCAUAGUAUAUAGAACAGGCAUCUGUUUUAUAUUAAAGCUCCGGCGGUUUAAGAUGGGCAUGCGCGUCAUUAGCUAGAUGGGGAGGUAACGGCUCACCAUGGCAACGAUGACUAGGGGGUCUGAGAGGAUUUCCCCCCACACUGGUACUGAGACACGGACCAGACUCCUACGGGAGGCAGCAGUAGGGAAUAUUGGGCAAUGGACGCAAGUCUGACCCAGCCAUGCCGCGUGCAGGAAGACUGCCCUAUGGGUUGUAAACUGCUUUUAUCAGGGAAGAAACCCUUCUACGUGUAGGAGGCUGACGGUACCUGAGGAAUAAGGAUCGGCUAACUCCGUGCCAGCAGCCGCGGUAAUACGGAGGAUCCAAGCGUUGUCCGGAUUUAUUGGGUUUAAAGGGUGCGUAGGCGGACUGAUAAGUCAGGGGUGAAAGCCGGUAGCUCAACUAUCGAAUUGCCUUUGAAACUGCCAGUCUUGAGUUUUGUUGAGGUAGGCGGAAUGUAUCAUGUAGCGGUGAAAUGCAUAGAUAUGAUACAGAACACCGAUUGCGAAGGCAGCUUACUAAGCAAAUACUGACGCUGAGGCACGAAAGCGUGGGGAUCAAACAGGAUUAGAUACCCUGGUAGUCCACGCCGUAAACGUUGAAUACUUGCUGUUAGCGAUAUACUGUUAGCGGCUCAGCGAAAGCGUUAAGUAUUCCACCUGGGGAGUACGCUCGCAAGAGUGAAACUCAAAGGAAUUGACGG